Molecule: long non-coding RNA, 561 nt
Organism: Mauremys reevesii (Reeves's turtle)
Lineage: Eukaryota; Metazoa; Chordata; Testudines; Geoemydidae
Exons: 3
Source: RefSeq, a predicted model, not a curated record
CUACAGGCCUAUGGUUGCCAUUUUGUAUCUGAAUGCUGUAGAUUAUCUCCCAUCCCUCAAAUCAGUUUGAUCCUUGUAUCCUGCAUUGCACUGGAACCUAGUGGACAGCUGUCAAAAUAUGCUAAAGUGCCAUCAUAGUGGCACUUGUAGGGGGCAUCUCAGAGAAGACACCAAGGACUGAGCAGGCAUGGAGACUGAACUACAGAUACUGGAAUUUCAUUUAGAAUCCAAUACUUUCAAUAUUGAAGUUAACAGCAAUUUUGACAUCAACUUCUGUGGGAGCAAGAUGGGGGCCCAGUAUCAACCUGGGCAUGUCUACCGAGAACAUUGUCAAAGAAGCAUAGAUAAAAUACUGGCUCCUGGAAAUGGUUGAAUCUGAUGUCUCUGACCUGUAGCUGUUUGGAAUUUUCUUUCUGUGUUUAAAUGUGAUAAGCAUUUGUUAAGGAAAUCCAAGUUGCUUCUUGAUGAUUCUUCAAUCUGCCAUAGAGGGUAGGCUCUUAAUACUCCUGUUUUUGCAACUGGAGCUAGAAGGAUAAAUUCACACACUAACAGUAAAUGAUU